This 160-nucleotide ribosomal RNA is filed under the name uncultured bacterium. RNAcentral describes it as "partial 16S ribosomal RNA". It matches the Rfam family "Bacterial small subunit ribosomal RNA", at positions 355 to 507 of the family's 1533-position model. The record is from RNAcentral.
UGGGGAAUUUUGGACAAUGGGCGCAAGCCUGAUCCAGCCAUGCCGCGUGCGGGAAGAAGGCCUUCGGGUUGUAAACCGCUUUUGGCAGGAACGAAACGGCGCCGACUAAUACUCGGCGCUAAUGACGGUACCUGCAGAAUAAGCACCGGCUAACUACGUG